RNAcentral lists this ribosomal RNA (433 nucleotides) under uncultured bacterium. RNAcentral's name for it is "partial 16S ribosomal RNA". It matches the Rfam family "Bacterial small subunit ribosomal RNA", at positions 29 to 507 of the family's 1533-position model. The record is from RNAcentral.
AACGAACGCUGGCGGCAUGCCUAACACAUGCAAGUCGAACGAGACCUUCGUGCCUUGUUGCGCUCGUGUGCUUAACGCGGGGGAACUUGCCCUUAGGUUCGGAACAACUCCCUUAAAGGUGUCCUAAUACCGGUUAAGGUAUUCCGACCUAAGAUUUCUUGCCUUUGGCUGGGCCCGCGUUAGUUUAGCUGGUUGGUAGGGUAAAAGCAUAUCAAGGCGACGAUCCAUAGCUGGUCUGUUAGCAUGAUCAGCUACAAUGGCACUGCGACACGGCCCAGACUCCUACGGAAGAGAGGAGUAGAGUGUAUUAGGCGCGGAGCGCGAGCCUGAUCACGCAGUGCCGCGUGUGUGAUCAAGGCCUUAGGGUUGUAAAUCUCUUUUACCCGGAGUGAUAAUGACAGUAACGGGAGAAUAAGCACCGGCUAACUACGUG